Molecule: ribosomal RNA, 165 nt
Filed under: uncultured type II methanotroph
Lineage: Bacteria; Pseudomonadati; Pseudomonadota; Alphaproteobacteria; Hyphomicrobiales; Methylocystaceae
Description: partial 16S ribosomal RNA
Rfam family: Bacterial small subunit ribosomal RNA
Source: RNAcentral
GUUUGGCCAUGGACGCAGUCUGAUCAGCCAUGUCGCGUGAGUGAUGAAGGCCCUACGGGUUGUAAACUUCUUUUGUAAGGGAAUAAAGUGAAGUACGUGUACUGUUUUGCAUGUACCUUACCAAUAAGGAUCGGCUAACUCUGUGCCAGCAGCCGCGGUAAUGAU